Long non-coding RNA from Ornithorhynchus anatinus (platypus), 529 nucleotides. RefSeq lists it as uncharacterized. NCBI's taxonomy places the organism in Eukaryota, Metazoa, Chordata, Mammalia, Monotremata, Ornithorhynchidae. The record is from RefSeq and is a predicted model, not a curated record. The transcript has 3 exons.
ACGUGAUGUCAGAAACAAGAGAUUAUGUCUCCAGAUGGGGAGCAGACCGGAUCAUGUGAAAACCACAGAAACAAAGGCUCAUGCCACAUCAACUUUCAAGGCUUGGCACUGAACAGCCCAAGGGCCUCCUCCUCUCGUGAGCACUACCUGGAAUGGGGUGUAAGAAAACACCAACUGCAGCAACUGAUUUUAAAUGGGUCAAGAGCGAUGAAGAAGCCAAGAGCAUCUGCUGGGGAAAUUAUACAAUAAAAACAAGAUGUUUAGGAGGGAUUCUACAGUCCAAAGGAGACUCAGCAUCUUCCAACCAUCACUUCAUCUGCAGAGCUGACCUUGACAAGUUCAGAGAAAAAUUUAUAUCCUGAUGUUUCCUUUGUUGGGCUGUAUCAAUUCUCGUUGCUGUUUCUAAACACUUUAUUUUCCCUAAGAAUAUAAGGGAAAUAAGGAAAUAAGCCUCUGAGAUGCUGGAAACAGAAGGCUAUGCAAUGUUUUAAAAUGUGUGCGUUUUGGGUAGUCUCUUACCUGAAGCAAA